GGAGACGCCCGAAGCCGAUUAUCUAACCUUUUGGAAGAAGUCGUCGAAGGUGGAAUCAAUAACUGGGGUGAAGUCGUAACAAGGUAGCCGUAUCGGAAGGUGCGGCUGGAUCACCUCCUUUCUAAGGAGAAUUACCUACUGUUUAAUUUUGAGGGUUCGUUUUUACGAAUACUCAAAAUUAGCACUUUUAGCAACAGAAUAAACUGAACGCAUGUGAAGUUUGUUUGUUGGCGCUGUGCGUUAGCACUUUAAGCAACGGGAUUUAUCCGUUGGCGCCGUGCUUUAGCACUUUGAAAAC
Molecule: ribosomal RNA, 298 nt
Filed under: Clostridioides difficile P64
Lineage: Bacteria; Bacillati; Bacillota; Clostridia; Peptostreptococcales; Peptostreptococcaceae
Description: partial 23S ribosomal RNA
Rfam family: Bacterial small subunit ribosomal RNA (bases 1-121)
Source: RNAcentral